RNAcentral lists this ribosomal RNA (253 nucleotides) under uncultured bacterium. Its description in RNAcentral is "partial 16S ribosomal RNA". It matches the Rfam family "Bacterial small subunit ribosomal RNA", at positions 524 to 776 of the family's 1533-position model. The record is from RNAcentral.
GACGAAGGUGGCUAGCGUUGCUCGGGAUUACUGGGCAUAAAGCGCGCGUAGGUGGUCUCGCAAGCGAGGGAUGAAAUCCCAUGGCACACCCAUGGAACUGUCUCUCGGACUGCGAGGCUUGAGGGCGGGAGGGGAGAGUGGAAUUCCCGGUGUAGCGGUGAAAUGCGUAGAUAUCGGGAGGAACGCCGGUGGCGAAAGCGACUCUCUGGCCCGUUUCUGACACUGAGGCGCGAAAGCUAGGGGAGCAAACAGG